Non-coding RNA from Macaca mulatta (Rhesus monkey), 612 nucleotides. The record is from RefSeq and is a predicted model, not a curated record. NCBI's taxonomy places the organism in Eukaryota, Metazoa, Chordata, Mammalia, Primates, Cercopithecidae.
GGGGUGGUUGCGGGGGAGGUUCUAAAUCGACCGUUUUCACUGCCUCAUGUGAACCAUUCAAGGCCCGAAUGUCGGAUUUUCCUAUUGCUGAACGUGAACCAAUUCUGCUUGAAGCGCCAAAAUAAAGCAGGGAUUAUACAACAGGGGAGAUGCCUGAAGAGUGGUAGGUCCUGUACAUGAGAAACUUGAGUCAGGAAGCCUUGAAGUUAAAUGAAGUUUAUCCAUCAAUAGAUCCAUCUGUCAAUAAAUAGAACUUUAACCAUUUUUUCAAAAAGGUAACAAGCCAUCUUUGGCCUGCACCCUCUGGAGUACAUUCUGAAGCACUGGAACUCCUUUGACCUUGAGACUUUGAAGAAAAAGUGGCUCAUUUGAUGGAAAUCUUGGAAAUAAACGGACCUGGCCGGCUGAAGGAGCCUUGGUUUUAAUCUUAUCCAACAAUUAGAUCUUGUUUGUAGAUGGGAGGGCAAGUGGCCCAAGCUCCUCUAUGUACAGGCUUUCUUUGCCCUGCGAGACAACUCAGACCUUUGCAAGCAUUGCAUAAUCGACUAAGCCCUCUUGGUAGCCAUACUGGGCAAGUCUGUAGCAAGUAGUUCCCCUAAGUCAAAAAAGCAA